GGGAAAGAAAGAGAAAAAGGAAGUACAGAGGAGCUGAACAAAAGGGACAGAAUUAGGUACAGGGGAAUAAGGAAAGAAAAGGUUGAGUGGGGAGGAUUCCAGAGCUGGAAGAAAUGCGAGCAACCAUCCGAGGUAUUUGAGUCUCAUGUGGAAACUAGUGCAACUCAAACCCUAAGAGGAAUCCCAGCUCUAACACUCCUGACAAGUGGUCACAGCUUCUCCUUGAAGAUCUCCAAGAACUGGGAACACAACCUAUAGAAGGAGCUUAUAUAACUUUUGUACAGCUCUUGUUGCUCUUCUUGAAGAGGACCAACGAUAUUAGGAGGGGGAUAACUUGCAAAUGAAUUGGAUUUAAGUGAGACAGAGCUGUGCAAAGUCAUCAGCCUCAGUCUCUCUAUAGGUCUGGAUGACUGGAAUGAGAACUCUUGGCCUUUGUAAGUCAAAGUUUUUCCCGGGAUCUCAGUUUUUCUGAGGCAAUAUCCAUUCAGUGAUUAAAGGUGCAUGGAACUAGUGGGAUAGAAGAUAGAUUGCCAGACUUGGAGACAGGAAAACUCCUCUAUCCUCUGAUACCAGCUUUGUGACUCUGAGUAGCCAUUUUAACCCUGUUUGCCUCAGUUUCCUCAUCUGUAAAAUGAACAAGAGAAGGAAUGGCCAACCAUUCCAAUAUUCUUGCCGAAAAAACCCCAAAAUGGAUCUUGAAGAGUUAAACACCACUGAAAUGACUAAAUGACAAUUAUUCAGAAGUUUACUUGACAUUGAGCCCACAUUUGCCCCUUUGUGACCCACUCACUGUUUCUCAUUCUGCCCUUGAGGCCAAGUAAAACUAAGCAAGAACCCUCUUGCAGCUGAUCAAUCCUUCAACUGUUUCAAAUCCUUCAAAUAUUUUCUCUAUGCUGAACAUCCCCAGUUCCUUCAAUUGAUUCUUUUUUUUUUUUAAUUUGCUGAGGCAAUUGGGAUUAAGUGAACUGCCCAGGGUCACACAGCUAGGAAGUGUUAAGUGUCUGAGACUAGAUUUGAACUCAGGUCCUCCUGACUUCAAGGCUGGUGCUCUAUCCACUGUACUAUCUAGCUGCCCCUCAAUUGAUUCUUACAUGUAUUGCAAGAUAUUGUGCCAGACCUGGAGAGACUUACAUGAACUGAUGCUAAGGGAAGUGAGUAGAACCAGGAGAUCAUUAUACACGGCAACAAGAUUAUACAAUGAUCAAUUCUGAUGGACAUGGCUCUUUUCAAGAUUGAGAUGAUUCAGACCAGUUCCAAUAGACUUGUGAUGAAGAGAGCCAUCUGCACUCAGAGGAAGGACUGUGGGGACUGAAUGUGGAUUACAACAUAGUAUUUUUGUUGUUUGCUUUUUUUCCUUUUUUCUCUUUUUUCUCUUAUUUUUCUUGUGCAGCAUAAUAAAUGUAGAAAUAUA
Antechinus flavipes (yellow-footed antechinus) is the source of this 1411-nucleotide long non-coding RNA. RefSeq lists it as uncharacterized. The record is from RefSeq and is a predicted model, not a curated record. NCBI's taxonomy places the organism in Eukaryota, Metazoa, Chordata, Mammalia, Dasyuromorphia, Dasyuridae. The transcript is spliced from 2 exons.